This 476-nucleotide ribosomal RNA is filed under the name uncultured bacterium. RNAcentral describes it as "bacterial SSU rRNA". It matches the Rfam family "Bacterial small subunit ribosomal RNA", at positions 28 to 517 of the family's 1533-position model. The record is from RNAcentral.
GACGAACGCUGGCGGCGUGCCUAACACAUGCAAGUCGAACGGGGCAUUGAGAGCUUGCUCUUAAUGCUUAGUGGCGAACGGGUGAGUAACGCGUGAGAAACCUGCCUCUCAGUGGGGGACAACAGUUGGAAACGACUGCUAAUACCGCAUAAUGUAUCGAGAUCGCAUGAUUUUGAUAUCAAAGAUUUAUCGCUGAAAGAUGAGCUCGCGUCUGAUUAGAUAGUUGGUGAGGUAACGGCUCACCAAGUCGACGAUCAGUAGCCGGACUGAGAGGUUGGACGGCCACAUUGGGACUGAGACACGGCCCAGACUCCUACGGGAGGCAGCAGUGGGGAAUAUUGCACAAUGGGCGCAAGCCUGAUGCAGCAACGCCGCGUGAGGGAAGACGGUUUUCGGAUUGUAAACCUCUGUCUUUGGUGACGAAGAAGUGACGGUAACCAAGGAGGAAGCCACGGCUAACUACGUGCCAGCAGCCG